CAGUACAAGAGGGCGGUACAAAGCAGGCUGUCACUCCCUCAGGGGUGGGAUACAGCAGGGCUUUCACUCUCAGGGGGCAGGAGAAAGCAAGAUGGUCACAACCUCAGAGGUGGUAAAAAGCAGGGUUUCCACGGCCAGAAGGGCGGGACAAAGCAAGACUGCCACAGCCAGAGGUUCCGGACAAACCAGGUCUGUCACUCUAAGAGGGCUGGACAAAGCAGGGCUCUCACUCACAGGGUGUGGGAUGAAUAAAAAAGAAAAAGAGGAAAACAGGCAUCAAAUUUCACAAGAGGAAAACCAAAAGUCCAUAUCUGCAGAUGACAUGAUUAGGCCCUUGGAAACACCUGCACAGCCCAUCAAAAAGCUGUGACUACGGAUGAACUAUUCAAGAGGUAGGUAGGUCACGCAGUCCGUACCUAACGUGGUCUCGGGCCAUUCCCCCGUGCUGACAGACCCCAGACUGGGAUUUCAUCCUACCCACAGUUUUCACAUGAUUCCCCUUCGAAAAGGGGAAGGAGCUAGGCUUCUUCCGUGCUGAGACUGGCGGCCACCUCUCACAGACUCCGAGGCAUGAGGCACCUGUGGCAGCUGUGUGCAGCCACAAGCCGGGGUCUCAGGAUGCUUCUCUGAGCUCACAGUAACUGUUGCCAAGCAACACAACUGCACAGGCGUGCCUGGCUCAGGAGCUCUGUGGGCUGCGCAGGCACACAGAAGCCUGGUGGCUAGGAGUGCUCAGUGCGCAUGUGCGGGGGAAUCAGAGCACGUGGUUUGCUUUCCAAGGUCAGUGGGAAUUGACAAAGCCUUGGUGACAUUUUGGGAAAGCGGUCCCUGCAGCCAGCACGACUAAACUGGUGCAGAGUGUCAGGAUGCUGAAGGCCUCAUGUAGAGUUAACUCCCUUGAAACCCCUCUCUCAGAAUCGCCUGAUCCCAAAGUGGAUUCCCCCUGCACAUCCCCUGGGGUCCUAGUCAGUUUCCAUGGGAAUGCAAGAAAGGAAGCCAUGAUUUCACACACACACGUCGUAUAGAUACCACAAAGGCAGUCACACAUUUCCUUUCUAGAAACUCUUUCUACUACUGAUACACCACUAAACCAAACUUUUGUUCCUGUCUACCUUUCAUUUCACAUCAGCAAAAUGAUGGUUAAUACUUUCACCAGGGAUUGUCAGUCAGUUCAUUGGAGUCCUGGGUUGAUAACAUUCUCCUCCUCUUCUCCUAAUCCUCAUCUGGAUGUCACGUCUAUAAAAUGUUAUUGAUCCAUUCGUGAAAACAUUGAUUCCUGUGAAUUUGAAAUCAAUGCACAAACCUAUCCUCUAUUCAUGAAUAUUCCAAUACAGAAAAGCAGUCCCAAGAAAGACUUCCAGAAGUUUGAA
This 1370-nucleotide long non-coding RNA is filed under the name Oryctolagus cuniculus (rabbit). RNAcentral describes it as "lncRNA (ENSOCUG00000029949.1)". The record is from RNAcentral. Lineage: Eukaryota; Metazoa; Chordata; Mammalia; Lagomorpha; Leporidae.